This is a non-coding RNA of Selenihalanaerobacter shriftii, 173 nucleotides long. The record is from Rfam. Lineage: Bacteria; Bacillati; Bacillota; Clostridia; Halanaerobiales; Halobacteroidaceae.
AAAGAGAAUAUUUAAUAGCUGUAGAUAGUAGGUGCUUCUUUUAAGCUUAAAUCUGCCUACCGAGGCUGGGGAUAGAUAAAAGGCUAAUUGGUUACUAAUAUAGUUAGUUUCUUAUCUUAUUGCAGAGUAUUUGAGGUCUCCGGUUAUCUACGGAGGCUUUUUUUAGUGCAAAA